ACAGACGAGUGAUGAGCGGAUAAUUUAUACGCUUUUUGGCAUUGUUUUUAGGUAGUUUUUAGUAAUUUCUGGCUGAAAUUGAGGGACUUGAGCAAAACUCUGAAAAAAGGCUGACAAAAGGACUGGUAAUGCUGUUGGAAUCUGACCUCCCUGCACUCAAAAUAGAUUUUCUGGAGCUACAGAACUCCAAAUGGCGCGCUCUCAACGGCGUUGGAAAUUAGACAUUCAGGGCUUUCCAG
Molecule: non-coding RNA, 239 nt
Organism: Arachis ipaensis
Lineage: Eukaryota; Viridiplantae; Streptophyta; Magnoliopsida; Fabales; Fabaceae
Source: RefSeq, a predicted model, not a curated record